This 1275-nucleotide long non-coding RNA is filed under the name Homo sapiens (human). Its description in RNAcentral is "HSALNT0363886". The record is from RNAcentral. Lineage: Eukaryota; Metazoa; Chordata; Mammalia; Primates; Hominidae.
CCACCCCUGCCCUCAGCCUCCUUCAAAGUGGCCGCUGGGGCUGGGGUCUGUCUUUGCAGAGGUGCCAGGCCACAUGCCCUGCCCACCUCUACCAGCUAUGCCGCCUCUGAAGUUCCUCCAGCGGCACUGAGGAGGGGCCCUGUGGUCGAGGGUGCAGUUAAACGAGGCCCGACCGGGUAGUUGAGCUCAGCUUGGCUGUACUUGUCUUCCUUGGACCUGCUGGGCACCCCCAGGAGGGCCAUGGUUAUAGACACAGGUUCGGAGUCAGCCCCAGCUUGAAUCCUGCUUCUGCCACCAGCCCUGUGACCUGAAGCAAGUGAGUCCCAAUCACCUCAUCUGUGCACUGAGAUGCAGAGUGGCUAUUUCUACUGCAUGUGGCUGUUGUGGGGACUGGGCGAGAGAGAUCCCCAAUAGGUGCUAUGAUUUUUCUCCCUGCUUUGCCCUCCAGCCAUACCCGGAAGCCCCCGAGUUUUGAUCUGGCCCAGGUAGACCGAUCAUUUCCUCCAAGUCCCCCUUCCCUGAGGAGCUGGCGUGCUUCAGUCUCACAGAAUGGGCAACUGAGGUUGAGAGAAAGGAAAUAACUUGUCCCAGGCCAGCAGCUGAGUCACGACCAAGGCACUUCGUUCUUCAUCUAGUGCGGCCUGUGCAGCCAAAAUGCCUUCCCAUGAGCUUGCCACAUAACCAUGGGUGGCUCACUGGACUUUCAUCUGGGCAAAGAGAAGGGUGUGCUGACACUACUCAUGGCUCCUUCAUCUGGGACCUACCCAAAUCCCGUGGCUUUGCUCACAAUCAUCUGAUCCUGUUGUGCCCAAGAUGCCUGCUCCCAUGCCUGGAUACCUGCUGCAGCUGCUCCAAGCCAGGACCCUGCCAAUCUGUCAUUUUAGAUCUUCAGCUCUGGGUUGGUCUUCCAGGUGCCUCUGCCUCCCAAGGAAACCCAAGGAACUCCGCCAGAAAGGGAAUGCCUAAAAGAGCAGCAGUGGGGACUGUAGGGGUCCUCCUGCCUGCCCCUUUGUUAUCCAGAGUGGGGCCCUGACUUGCCUGAAGUCACACAGGGACUCCGGUAUUCCAAUCCUCGGCCUUAAGAUCGCUGCUAUCCGGUUACUUCUAUCUAAAAGCCCUAGAGAAGUUUCGGGAGACACUCAAAGGGCCCUUGUCUGGUUUCCAGGCUGACCAACUCUAAUGGAGAAAAAGCUCACUCACUAAGCAUACAUCAAAUGCCAGGCGUAUAGAAUCCUUCAGUGGAGGGAUCAUUCUCCCCAUUUUACAGAGGAAUAA